GACGAACGCUGGCGGCGUGCCUAAUACAUGCAAGUAGAACGCUGAAGAGAGGAGCUUGCUCUUCUUGGAUGAGUUGCGAACGGGUGAGUAACGCGUAGGUAACCUGCCUUGUAGCGGGGGAUAACUAUUGGAAACGAUAGCUAAUACCGCAUAACAAUAGGUGACACAUGUCAUUUAUUUGAAAGGGGCAAUUGCUCCACUACAAGAUGGACCUGCGUUGUAUUAGCUAGUAGGUGAGGUAACGGCUCACCUAGGCGACGAUACAUAGCCGACCUGAGAGGGUGAUCGGCCACACUGGGACUGAGACACGGCCCAGACUCCUACGGGAGGCAGCAGUAGGGAAUCUUCGGCAAUGGGGGCAACCCUGACCGAGCAACGCCGCGUGAGUGAAGAAGGUUUUCGGAUCGUAAAGCUCUGUUGUAAGUCAAGAACGAGUGUGAGAGUGGAAAGUUCACACUGUGACGGGAGCUUACCAGAAAGGGACGGCUAACUACGU
Molecule: ribosomal RNA, 496 nt
Filed under: uncultured bacterium
Lineage: Bacteria
Description: partial 16S ribosomal RNA
Rfam family: Bacterial small subunit ribosomal RNA
Source: RNAcentral